CCCUUAGAUGUUCUGGGCCGCACGCGUGCUACACUGAGUAAUUCAAUGGGUAAGGGAACGCUAGAGCAUUACCUAAUCUUGAAAUUUGCUCGUGAUGGGGAUCGACGGUUGCAAUUUUCCGUCGUGAACGAGGAAUACCUUGUAGGCGCAUGUCAUCAUCAUGCGCCGAAUACGUCCCUGCCCUUUGUACACACCGCCCGUCGCUCCUACCGAUUGAGUGAUCCGGUGAGGCUCCGGGACCUGGACGGAAAGAGCGUUUCGCUUGUUCUGUUUGGGAAACUUGGUCGAACCUUAUCAUUUAGAGGAAGGAGAAGUCGUAACA
This 322-nucleotide ribosomal RNA is filed under the name uncultured eukaryote. Its description in RNAcentral is "partial 18S ribosomal RNA". It matches the Rfam family "Eukaryotic small subunit ribosomal RNA", at positions 1470 to 1796 of the family's 1831-position model. The record is from RNAcentral.